AAAAUAAGAAAUUCGAAGAUAAGCUUCUAACUUAAUCUUUAAGCAGUGUGAUUCUGUUUUUAUUUUA
RNAcentral lists this transfer RNA (67 nucleotides) under Micrambe villosus. RNAcentral's name for it is "tRNA-Ser". The record is from RNAcentral. Lineage: Eukaryota; Metazoa; Arthropoda; Insecta; Coleoptera; Cryptophagidae.